RNAcentral lists this ribosomal RNA (1045 nucleotides) under uncultured Propionibacterium sp. Its description in RNAcentral is "bacterial SSU rRNA". It matches the Rfam family "Bacterial small subunit ribosomal RNA", at positions 340 to 1393 of the family's 1533-position model. Lineage: Bacteria; Bacillati; Actinomycetota; Actinomycetes; Propionibacteriales; Propionibacteriaceae. The record is from RNAcentral.
UACGGGAGGCAGCAGUGGGGAAUAUUGCACAAUGGGCGGAAGCCGGAUGCAGCAACGCCGGGUGCGGGAUGGCGGCCUUCGGGUUGUAAACCGCUUUCGCCUGUGACGAAGCGUGAGUGACGGUAAUGGGUAAAGAAGCACCGGCUAACUACGUGCCAGCAGCCGCGGUGAUACGUAGGGUGCGAGCGUUGUCCGGAUUUAUUGGGCGUAAAGGGCUCGUAGGUGGUUGAUCGCGUCGGAAGUGUAAUCUUGGGGCUUAACCCUGAGCGUGCUUUCGAUACGGGUUGACUUGAGGAAGGUAGGGGAGAAUGGAAUUCCUGGUGGAGCGGUGGAAUGCGCAGAUAUCAGGAGGAACACCAGUGGCGAAGGCGGUUCUCUGGGCCUUUCCUGACGCUGAGGAGCGAAAGCGUGGGGAGCGAACAGGCUUAGAUACCCUGGUAGUCCACGCUGUAAACGGUGGGUACUAGGUGUGGGGUCCAUUCCACGGGUUCCGUGCCGUAGCUAACGCUUUAAGUACCCCGCCUGGGGAGUACGGCCGCAAGGCUAAAACUCAAAGGAAUUGACGGGGCCCCGCACAAGCGGCGGAGCAUGCGGAUUAAUUCGAUGCAACGCGUAGAACCUUACCUGGGUUUGACAUGGAUCGGGAGUGCUCAGAGAUGGGUGUGCCUCUUUUGGGGUCGGUUCACAGGUGGUGCAUGGCUGUCGUCAGCUCGUGUCGUGAGAUGUUGGGUUAAGUCCCGCAACGAGCGCAACCCUUGUUCACUGUUGCCAGCACGUUAUGGUGGGGACUCAGUGGAGACCGCCGGGGUCAACUCGGAGGAAGGUGGGGAUGACGUCAAGUCAUCAUGCCCCUUAUGUCCAGGGCUUCACGCAUGCUACAAUGGCUGGUACAGAGAGUGGCGAGCCUGUGAGGGUGAGCGAAUCUCGGAAAGCCGGUCUCAGUUCGGAUUGGGGUCUGCAACUCGACCUCAUGAAGUCGGAGUCGCUAGUAAUCGCAGAUCAGCAACGCUGCGGUGAAUACGUUCCCGGGCCUUGUACACACCGC